RNAcentral lists this small nuclear RNA (131 nucleotides) under Carassius auratus (goldfish). Its description in RNAcentral is "U2 spliceosomal RNA (ENSCARG00000015763.1)". It matches the Rfam family "U2 spliceosomal RNA". Rfam says of the family: U2 is a small nuclear RNA (snRNA) component of the spliceosome (involved in pre-mRNA splicing). The record is from Rfam by way of RNAcentral. Lineage: Eukaryota; Metazoa; Chordata; Actinopteri; Cypriniformes; Cyprinidae.
UCCGCUUCUCGGCCUUUUGGCUAAGAUCAAGUGUAGUAUCUGUUCUUAUCAGUUUAAUAUCUGAUACGUCCCCCAUCCGGGGACUACUUAAGGGGAAGUUGUGGCCUAAUGGUUAGAGGGUUGGACUCCCA